CAGUAGCCGCGGGAAUACCGAGGGUGCGAGCGUUAAUCGGAUUUACUGGGCGUAAAGCGUGCGUAGGUGGCUUCUUAAGUCGGAUGUGAAAUCCCUGAGCUUAACUUAGGAAUUGCAUUCGAUACUGGGAAGCUAGAGUAUGGUAGAGGAUGGUAGAAUUCCCGGUGUAGCGGUGAAAUGCGUAGAGAUCUGGAGGAAUACCGAUGGCGAAGGCAGCCAUCUGGCCUAAUACUGACGCUGAGGUACGAAAGCAUGGGGAGCAAACAGGAUUAGAUACCCCGGUAGUCCCUGUCUCUUAUAC
Molecule: ribosomal RNA, 301 nt
Filed under: uncultured bacterium
Lineage: Bacteria
Description: partial 16S ribosomal RNA
Rfam family: Bacterial small subunit ribosomal RNA
Source: RNAcentral